CACGACAUUGAAAGAAUGAAAGCACCCUCACUAAAGCAGACCUCUCUUCUUUACCUUCCUAGACAAAGCAAUGGUUCUCUAUUCCAUUCGUAAUAAAGGCAAGAGCCAGAAUUCAACUUGCUUAUCCACCAUUUUCCAGGAAGUUACCUUAACCUCUACCACCAGUUCGGUAAUAUCAGUACUGCAAUUCUCAAAAAUCAUCUUAUUCCUUUGUCGCCACAAAUUCCAAACAACAACGUUCCAAUUCAUCACCAAACCUUGACGCUUCUGUUUACAACCAGGGGUAGCCGCAAGAGAAUUUAACAUAGAAAACAUAUUAUGUGGUAACAUGAAUUCCAAUCCUAGCCAAGAUAGAAUCUUUCCCCAGACUUGUGUCGCAAAACGGCAAUAAAUGAAAGAUGAAUUGAGGUCUCUGCACAGUCGCGACACAGCACACACAUCUUGUCACCAGUAUCGUGAAUGAUCUGCCUUCUGAACAAAUUAUCUCUCGUUGGGAUCCUGUCGAGAAGCAGCAUCCACGCAAAUCC
Molecule: long non-coding RNA, 527 nt
Filed under: Trifolium pratense (red clover)
Lineage: Eukaryota; Viridiplantae; Streptophyta; Magnoliopsida; Fabales; Fabaceae
Description: long non-coding RNA (TPRA_LNC002290)
Source: RNAcentral